This is a long non-coding RNA of Canis lupus familiaris (dog), 834 nucleotides long. RefSeq lists it as uncharacterized. The record is from RefSeq and is a predicted model, not a curated record. The transcript has 5 exons. Lineage: Eukaryota; Metazoa; Chordata; Mammalia; Carnivora; Canidae.
CCCGGCCCCCGCGUGCAGGUGCAAACCGCUGCCAACCGCGGCGUGGGCCUGAGCUGCCCUUGGGGACAGCCUCUGCCGGGGAAGGGCCCUCCUGCGACCACAGCCUGUCGCCUGGGGACGGCUAAGCAAGACGCUGCCCAAACCUGGGAGGAAGACCUACCCUGAAGCCGCAAGCUCUUUCCCACUUCGCCGGUGACCUUGGACGCCUCUUCUAAACAAGGUCAUCCUCAUCAAGAACUUUUUCCACCUGCCUCAGUUCUUGGGAGUAUUUCACGUUGUAAAUGAAUUCUUCCCUUCAACAAAAAUUAAUUUACUUAUAGAGCAUCUACUAGUAUGCCAGUCACAUUUAUAUGUGUUCUCUCUCAGACCAUCAUCCAGUUACCUCUUAAAUGUGAGUGUUUGCUUGGCUGUCCACUGAUCUCACAAUCAGUAGUCAACUGUGUGUAUAACGUCUCCUACUCAGUUCCUAUAUCCAGUGAGUAGGAAUGAGGAAAUUCGUUGCACGGACCUCCCUCAGCUAGAUUCAAGAUGUUCUGUGAAAUGGAAAUGUAGCCGAAUGGAAAGCAAGAUUGACAGUGAGAAUCCUCAAUCUGCCAUUUAUGAAGGAUAAUUUGUUCAACAUUAAAUAUAAAAAGCUCUGCCUGAUGGUUGCAUUAUAACCAGUGGGGUGUCUUGUCAACCAACGUGCUCGGAAACAGGACUCAUACUUUAUGGACACAUUUCAACAAAAUGAAAUUGGCGUUGUAGGAUAUGAGCAUUUUUAUGAUUGUCAGGAAAGGAACCAUGCUAUUUUUGGGAAAAGUUUUUACCAAUUUAUAUUCUUAUCAUCACUGU